This 497-nucleotide ribosomal RNA is filed under the name uncultured bacterium. Its description in RNAcentral is "partial 16S ribosomal RNA". It matches the Rfam family "Bacterial small subunit ribosomal RNA", at positions 28 to 507 of the family's 1533-position model. The record is from RNAcentral.
GAUGAACGCUGGCGGCGUGCCUAAUACAUGCAAGUCGAGCGAACAGACCCGGCGCUUGCUCCUCUGACGUUAGCGGCGGACGUGUGAGUCACACGUGUAUCCCCUCCCUAUCAUACUGGUAUCACUUCGGGACACCGGCGCUAAUCCCGGAUAAUCUAUUGCUCCGCAUUGUUCAUUAGUGAAUGACGGCUUUUCUGUCACUUCUAGCUGGUUCCCGGCGGCAUUAGCUAGUUGGUAAGGUAACGGCUUACCACGGCAACGAUGCGUAGCCGACCUGAGAGGGUGAUAGGCCGCACUGGAACGGAGACGGGGUCCAGGGGCCUAAGGGAGGCAGCAGUAGGGAAUGGUCCGCAGUGGGCGAAAGCCUGACGGAGCAAGGGCGCGUGAGUGAUGAAGGUCUUCGGAUCGGAAAGCUCGGUUAUUGGGGAAGAACAAAUGUGUAAGGAACUAUGCACGGCGUGACGGUAACGGGUCAGAAAGCCACGGCUAACUACGUG